This is a non-coding RNA of Sus scrofa (pig), 441 nucleotides long. The record is from RefSeq and is a predicted model, not a curated record. NCBI's taxonomy places the organism in Eukaryota, Metazoa, Chordata, Mammalia, Artiodactyla, Suidae.
GAUGAAGUUCUGCCUACAUAGAGUCAAACACAGCUUGCCAGCCUCAGCAAGUCAGCGUAAUUGGAUGAUUUUUCCUAAUUAGUAACCAACUUUGCCCGACUCAUUUCUGUAGGAGGGCAGUUGCCCCCAGGUUCUGCGCACCCAAAGUCUGUAGUCAAAGUAUCCGUCUUUCUUACCUGCCGUUUAAGAUCUUCAAUGACUGAGAAAUAUCUAUGAUAGUCUUGAUCCAAACCCCUGCAAGGACCAGGCUCAUAUUUCUCAUACCAGCCCUUGAUUUUCUGCUCGAGGUCAGCGUUGGCCUCCUCCAGAGCACGCACAUGGUCCAGAAACCUCCUCCAGAAGAAACGCUCCCAAGAGUACAAGAAAAACUGCUUCCUGCCCUCGACCCGCCACAUGCAUUCCCAGCCCUGAAGCCUGUUCUUCCACCAGACCACCGACCGG